AUACGGAGGAUGCGAGCGUUAUCCGGAUUUAUUGGGUUUAAAGGGAGCGUAGGCGGGAGCUUAAGUCAGCGGUUAAAUGGUGCGGCUCAACCGUGCCCUGCCGUUGAAACUGGGUUUCUUGAGAGUGCAAGAGGCGGAUGGAAUUCAUGGUGUAGCGGUGAAAUGCUUAGAUAUCAUGAAGAACUCCGAUUGCGAAGGCGGUCCGCUGGGGCACGUCUGACGCUGAUGCUCGAAGGUGCGGGUAUCAAACAGGAUUAGAUACCCUGGUAGUCCGCACAGUAAACGAUGGACACCCGCGGUUUGGCCUGUAUGGCUGAACCGCCAAGCGAAAGCGUUAAGUGUCCCACCUGGGGAGUACGCCGGCAACGGUGAAACUCAAAGGAAUUGGCGGGG
Molecule: ribosomal RNA, 393 nt
Filed under: uncultured bacterium
Lineage: Bacteria
Description: partial 16S ribosomal RNA
Rfam family: Bacterial small subunit ribosomal RNA
Source: RNAcentral